Molecule: long non-coding RNA, 13909 nt
Filed under: Nicotiana tabacum (common tobacco)
Lineage: Eukaryota; Viridiplantae; Streptophyta; Magnoliopsida; Solanales; Solanaceae
Description: long non-coding RNA (NTAB_LNC015370)
Source: RNAcentral
UUUUUUUUAACACCUCUCUUAAAAAAUGUCACGACCCAAAUAUCGCAAGUCGUGAUAGGACCUAACUCGAUCCUCUAGGUAAGCCAAAUAACAGAAAAUACAAUCCAAAUGAUAUUAUAGGAAAAUAGUGAAUAAUUAUCUGAAUAUUUAUAAAUUGACCCAAUAACUGGUUGUACGAAUCAUGAGCUUCUAAGACUUGAAAUUUAUAAAACUAGUACAAAUAAUUACACAAUCUGUUUGAAAUUUACAUAACAGAUUAACAAAAUCUAAUGUAACACCCCAUAAAUUCGGCUUAGGUGUGAAUGUGCUAAAUGAGUAGUAAGGUUAUAUUUUGGACAUGUGAAGUUCCAUUGGUAUGAUUAUGGGUGGAAAUAAUUAUUUUAGAAUUAAGACGAAGAGUGAGGUGUACAAGAUUUGAUAAAAUCUACGAAGUUUACAAAAGAUCAGUCUUGCAGGAGGUUUAGUCAAAAACGUGUAAGGUAUUUGGGAAAACUCAAAACACGAAAGUUGUAUUCUAACAAUAUAUUGUGUAGCCCAAACGGAUCUCUGUGCAAAAGGUUAUGCGCAUUUUACAGAACAGUGUACAAGAUGAGCGCCAUGAGCAUGACUGCGCUCCUAUGGAAGUGUUACUGCCAUUUUGCGUGGUCAGGUGCGCGGUCAGGCCUAUAGGUGCAUAGGGGCGCUCAUGGGGGGUAAUUUUAAAGCCAUACUUCGUCCCCCAUAGCCCCAAAACAUAAAAUCUUACUCUAGAAAGGGGAACUCUCAAAAACCUAAUUCCUUAAGGUUCCCUCCACCGCCUAAGGUAAGUUCUAAUGGUGAUUCUAAGUUAAUUUCAAUUUUCCAACAUCUUGUUAAUAUGGGUAAACCCUCCAUAUCAUUAGAUAUUUGAUUGGGACAUCAUUGUUGAGAGAAGGAAGCCUAUAACUCGAAUUCAAAGGGUUUGAACUUCAAAAAGGUAUUGUCUUCACUCUCUAAUUGAUUCUAGCAUUUGUUUAAUCAUUAUAAACCCUAGUUCAUGAGAUAUGAGUUGAUGAGUUUCAUAGAAAAGCAUGAACGAUUAUAGGUUUGGGGUGUUGAAUGUUUAUUCUAACCAUUUGAGACUUUAGAAUUUAUCUAGGAGCAAGGGAAUUGUUUAUUGGGUGUGGAGACACCAUUAAUAAGGACUAUGAAGCUUUAUUCUCACCAAGUGUUUGAUAAGAUGCUUAAGUGACCAAAACAUGAGCAUCAUAGCUAAUAUGGAAUCCCUUUGCCUUGUAUUGCUAUAGAUUAAAGUUGAAAGGGUUGACAAACGUGGUAUUGCGCUCAAGAGCAUGAAGUUAAGCUAUGUGAGGCUAACUCUCUAUGUUUUUGAAUGUUAAUAAUUCUCCCUACAUUAUGUUUCUUUUCACACGUUACUAAUUGCCUCAGAAAUAUAGUUUAGCCUAAUUCCUUAAAUUGUUGUAGAACUUCUAUUCUCUAGCUUCAAAACUCAUUCAUGACUUUCAUUCCGAACAUUGUGAUUUCAGUUCGUAUUCAAUAUAGACUUGGGCUUGAUGUCCCUGAGUCUCAGUAUAGCUUACUCAGCAUGUCAUAAACACUUAAUGUUUCAGUGUUCAUAAUCAGUUCAAGAAUACAUGUCUCAGUCUAGUCCUAUUCAGUAUUCCAGUAUUAUGUAACUCAGUGUGAUUCAGCAUUUCAGUAUCAUAUAUUUCAAUAUGAUUCUCAGUUCUUGAUUUUAUAUUCUUGAAUAGGCCUGAGGCCACAGUUUAUGCUUUAUGUAUCUUUGGGCAUGAGGUCGUAGUUAUGUAUACGUAUACAUGGGCACGACGCCUCAGUUGUGCACAUAUACAUAUGGCCUGAGGCCGUAGUAUAAUAUUUAGAUAAACAGGUUGUUCAUCAUUCAGAACUGGGAGUAUUCAUAACCUUAAUUCCUAUGUUUAGUUCAGCUAUCAGUUAUCAAUUACCGUAUUUACAGUUCUUUCCUUCAGUUGUUUUACAUACCAAUGCAAUUCACAUAUACUAAUGUCUCUUUCUGCCCGGGGCCUGCAUCUAGGACAUCUUGUAUCAGCUAUUGGUGAGCCCCAGUCUUUUGGGGCAUUAUCCCUCCCUUUUUCAGUCAUUAUAGUAUUUCCGUUAAUAAGGUAUACCGGGGACCUUAUCCUUGUAAACAGUUAGCAUUUUCAGUAUUCUUUAGAGGCUUCGUAGACUAUAAUCCAGUCAGUCAGAUAUUAGCAGUCUUUUAUGUGUUAGCUUUGUCGGUUACUUGUUUAUACUUGCAGACCUUCCCGUAUUUUCCACAUCUAUGAUAUUUCUGUCAGACCUUUUAGUAGAUUAUCAUGUCAUAUAUUUAGACCCUGAGUCAAAUAGAACUGAAGCAUCUCUACUACAGACCAUAACGGUACCUGUGAUAACUACAUCGGAGGCCUUAGCCUCGGGCCUGGUUGAAAGAGCAUAACAUCGGGGCUGGGCCCUACCACUCUAAACUACGUCCUUGGGACGGCCUCCUGCUGGCUGGCCUCCACCUCUAGCGGCCUGAACUCCACUCUAAUACCUCUACCUCCACCUAUAGCACCUCUACCCCACCCUUAGCUGGCUGAGUGGGCGAUGGUACACCUGGUGCCUGAACCAUGGCACGGAAACCCUGCUACUGCGACUGAACACCAACUAAUCUCUUGCAAGCCCUUUGGAUAUAACUAUACUCACCGCACUCAAAGCAUCAACUUGAGUGCUACAGGUGGGAACUGAGACUGACCCUAGCGUGCCGAUUGACCAUGGGAAUAGCUCUAAAAAGGAGGCACUCUGAUAGGAGCUGAUGGUGUACGGUAGGACUGCUUAUCAGAAUACUGCAUAUGAGAACCCCGAUCACUUGAAGCACCAUGAGAAGUCUGAAGUGCUGAAUAAAAUGGCCUGGGAGGAUAGCCCCUACCAAAAGAAUCUAUACCUCCAGAUGAUCCACAAAUAAACAUGCUUGAAUAACGGAGCCUCUUGACAGACCCCCGACCACUACCCUGUGAUAGAACCAUCUCAACUCUCCUGGCCACAUUGGCUGCAUCCUGAAAAGAAAUCUCGCUCCCAGUCUCCUUAGCCAUCUGCAAUUGAAUCAGCUGAGCAAGUCCCUCAAUGAACCUCCUCACCCUCUCUCUCUUGGUAGGAAGUAUGUUAAGAGCAUGGCGAGCCAAAUCACUGAAUCUGGUCUCAUACUGAGUGACGGUCAUAGAACCAUGUUGGAGAUGCUCAAACAGCCUACGAUAGUCCUCCCUCUGAGUGAUAGGAAGAAAAUUCUCAAGAAAUAGCUGAAAGAACUGAUUCCAAGUCAAGGCGGGCGACCCAACUAGCCUAACCAAACAAUAAUCCCUCUACCAAGUCUUGGCGCAACCUAACAAGCGAAAAGCAGCAUCGACAGACAUAGUUGCUCCAUCACCGGUCUAAGCUACCACACUUUGCUGAACUGCUCCAACUAGUUGAGCUGCUGAAGUCUAAAACUGGGGAGCCAUCUGCUCUGGAGUGCAGGUAGUGGGAGUCUGUGCUCCUCCCCUAGCCUAAGAGAUGGCUGGUGCUACAGGAAGUAAGCCUGCCUGGGUGACACUCUCGAUAAGGCCCACUAGAUGGACCAAAGCAUUCUGGAGAACAGGGGUAGCAAUGAUCCCCUCUAGGACCUGAGCUUGGCCCACCAGAAUUGUCUGGGCUGGAACCUCUUCAUCAAAUACUACCUGAGGUUCCGCCGUUGAUGCUGCUGCUCUGGGCUGAGCUCUACCCCUGCCUCGGCCUCGCCCUCUACCCCUCAUGGGAACUACUUUUGGGGGCUCGGGCUACUGAUCAGUGGAUGAAGAAGCGUGUGUUCUCUCCAUAUUCUAAAUAAUUGAGUAGAAAUUGAAUUAGCAUUGAGAAACCAAACUGCACGACAAAUAUGAAUAGAAGUGAAAUUGUUCCUAACUCUGCAGCCUCUAUGGGAUAAGUACAAACGUCUCCGUACCGAUCCCUCAGACUCUGCCAAGCUUGUCCGUGAAUUGUGAGAGCUAAGAAACCUAGAGCUCUUAAACCAACUUGUAACAACCCGUAUUUCUCACCCUCGGGAGUCGUGAUGGCACUUACUAGUAAAACCUAGGCAAGCCAACUAUUCCAAUUUAUUUACCCUUUUUAUUGUUUAUUUUAAACCUCUUAGCAAUUUUAAGUCAACAUAUCAUAAACAGCGGAAGAAUAAUAAUGCGGAAAAAAAGAAAUUUAACAAUUUAAGCUAAUACCAAAAUGUAUCCAUAAGCUUAACCACCCAGAACUGGUGUCACAAAUUCACGGACUAUCUAAGAAAACUACAAAUAGAGUCCGAACAAGAAAGUACAUGUCUGUCUUUAGAAUAUAAAGAACAGAAAGAAACUAGAUAGGAAGGGGAUUCCAAGGCCUGCGGAUGCCUGCAAGUCUACUUCGGGUCUCCUGAUGGGCUGAAGGCAGCAACCCUUAGCUAAGAUCCAUAUGCUCCAGUACCGAGAUCUGCACACAGUGUAGAGUGUAGUAUCAGCACAACCGACCCCAUGUGCUAGUAAGUGUGGAGCUUACCCUCGGUGAAGUAGUGACGAGCCUAGGACAAGACUACCAACUAAACCUGUGCAGUUAAAGCAUAUACGACAAGUAAUAAGAACGGAAACUAACAGUUAAAGUUGGGAAGGGGAAUCAUGUUGCGGGGGAAAAUCGAGUACCAAUAGUAACUCAGGAGAAAAAAACAUAAAGAACAUUUUAAGGUUUGUAUCAGUAAGAAUAGGGAAACGGUAACAAAUCAAUAUCCACUUUUAUUAUUUAUUGUUGUGGUGUGCAUCCCAAUCCAAAUCAUAUAACACUGUUGCGGUAUGCAACCCGAUCCGAUCAUAUAUCACUGUUGUGGCGUGCAACUCGAUCCAGUCAUAUAUCACUGUUGUGGCGGGCAACCCGACCCCUUCGGUCCUCCCUUAUUACUCCAUGUUGCGGCAGGCAACCCGAUCCCAUAUAAUAUUUUUAUGGUGUGCAACCGAUCCCAAUAUACAAUUCAACACCAAUCACAAAAUAAUCCCGGCAAGGGAACAAUAAGGAAACAACAAUAUCCCAGCAAGGGAGUCAACAAUGAGAAUAAACACUCCCUGGCAAGGGACCCAAUAGUAAGAAUAAAAUACGUUCCGGCAAGGGAAUCAGCUAUAACCAAACUUGAACCAACAUUUAACUUCACAAAUGAAACCUCAACUGGAACCAAUACUCAGAAAUAAACAAACACCACGAGAAUAAUGAUAAUUCUUGAUCAACACAGAGUAUCAACAACUUAGCCAUUUGUAGUACUUAUUAAGAAUACAACAAUUACAAUUUAAAACUCACGGGCAUGCUUGACAACGACGUAUAUAUACUCGUCAUUAUACCUAUAUGUCGUACACUACACUAGCACAUAGCAAUUAAAGCACAAUACCUAUUCCUUCAAGUUAAGGUUAGACCAAACACUGACGUCGAACUUCCACGGCCAACUGAAGCCUCAAACAUCGCCUUUCCUUUAGAAUUUGCCUCCAAAUUACUUGUAUCUAGCCCAAAUUAAUUUAACAGCAUCAAUAAAUGCUAAAGAAUUCAACCCCAAUGCUAAACUAUAGGUUUUCUAUCAUUCUUCCCAAAAAGUUAAAAAUCAACCCCGGGCCCGCUUGGUCAAAACUCGACGUUUGGACCAAACCUUGAUCACGCAUUCACCCACAAGCCCAAAUAUGCAAUUAGUUUCAAAAUUCGACCGCAAAACGAGGUCUAAAUUCUAAUUAUUCGGAAAUCCCUAACUCUACCUAAAUUCCUAAUUUCUACCAUGGAAACUUCUGAUUUUUGAUUAAAAAGUGAUGAAAAACAUUGGGUGAUUGAAAGAGUAAAGUUUAGAAUUGAUUACCAACACUUUGGGGAUGAAAUUGUGAAGAAAAUCGCCUGUAGCCUUGGGAGUUCGAAAAUAUGAUAAAAAUGAGUUCUGCCCAUUUUUGGUUCUGUUUUCAAAGACUAGGCAAGCCUUCAUCGCGUUCGCCAUGGGUCAGGCCUAAAUGGCCUUCGCGUUUGCGGUCAAUUGGCCGCAUUCGCGUUGAAGAAAAUCCCUUUCCCCCAGUCUCCGUCCAAAAGGCCUACGCGUUUGAGAUUGCAGGUCCGCGUUCGCGAAGGGUAACACCCCUAAGGCUUCGCGUUCGUGACUUGUGUUUCGCAUUCGCAUAGAAGGAAUUUUCCUUCAGACUGACUUUCCUUUUGCGUUCGCGAGAUUCCUUCGAAAACACGAAGAACAAAACACCAUCACACCAGAAACAACAAACCAGCAAUUUUUCCUAAGUGUAAAAACAUCCUGUGGCCUAUCCAAAACUUACCUGAGCCCUCAGUGCUCCAAACCAAAUAUGCAUACUAACUCUAAAACAUCAUAUGAACUUACUCGUGCGAUCAAAUCGAUCUCCCGUUCGCGAAGGGUUGUGGUGUGAGGCAGGAAGUUUGUCCUUCACGUUCACAAUAUGGGUCCCGAGUUCGCGAAGGGUUAGGUUCAGCAUUCAUCACGAACAUGAUGAGUUUCCCGUGUUCACGUAGACUAAAUGGGAGCAGCUGGGACCCAGUUAACUUGAGUUUCGCGUUCGCGAGCUAGAGGUCACAUUUGCGAUAGGUUGAGGGGCUUUGUGUUCGCGUUCUCCUUCAUGAUGAAUGAUUUAUGUUGUCAAUGAAUUUUGUGCUUCACGAAUGGGAGGUGUUGACCGCGUUCGCGAAGAAGGAAAGGGUCCCAUUUUUAUUUCACCGUAUCGUAUGGCACCCGCGAAGUUGAAGGAGCAGCUUUAGGAACUCCUUUAUAAGGGGUUUAUUCAGACUAGUGUAUCGCGUUGGGGUGCGCCUGUUCUAUUUAUGAAGAAGAAGGAUGGCAUGAUGAGGAUGUGCAUUGAUUACACAUAGUUGAACAAAGUAACAAUCAAGAACAAAUAUCCUUUGCCUCGUAUCGAUGAUUUGUUUGGCCAGCUUCAGGGAGCGAGAGUGUUCUCCAAGAUUAAUUUUUGUUCAUCAUAUUACCAGCUAAAGAUUAGGGACUCGGAUAUUUUUAAACAGCUUUCAGGACCCGAUGUAGUCAUUAUGAGUUCCUUAUGAUGUCUUUUGGGCUGACCAAUGCCCCUACAACGUUCAUGCAUUUGAUGAAUAGCGUCUUUCAACCUUAUCUCGACUCAUUUGUCAUAGUUUUCAUUGAUGAUAUUCUGAUGUAUUCGCGUAGUCAGGAGGAGCACGCAGAGCAUUUGAGAGUUGUGUUGCAGAGAUUGAGGGAAGAGUUAAAGCUUCUUCUAGUGUGAGUUUCGGCUCAGUUUAGUGGCUUUCUUGGGGCACGUGGUGACCAGUGAGGUAUCCAGGUUGAUCCGAAGAAGAUAGAGGUGGUUAGACUUAUCCCAGACCGUCCUCAACUACAGAGAUUCGCAACUUUCUUGGAUUGGCGGGCUUUUACCGUCGGUUUGUUCAAGGAUUUUCAUCUAUCGCAUCACCCAUGACCAAGUUGACUCAAAAGGGUGCUCCUUUCAUGUGGUCGGAUGAGUGUGAGAAGAGCUUUCAGAAGCUCAAGACUGCCUUAACCACAACUCCGGUGUUAGUUCUGCCAUCAGCUUCAGGUUCAUAUACAGUGUAUUGUGAUGCUUGGAGAGUUGGUAUUGGGUGUGUGUUGAUGUAGAAGGGUAGAGUUAUCUCUUAUGCUUCUCGUCAGUUGAAGCCCCAUGAGAAGAACUACCAUGUUCAUNNNNNNNNNNNNNNNNNNNNNNNNNUUUACUGAUCAUCGUAGCCUCCAGCACUUGUUCAAGCAGAAGGAUCUCAAUUUGUGGCAGCGGAGAUGGUUAGAGCUGCUAAAGGACUAUGAUAUCACUAUUUUGUACCAUUGGGGGAAGUCCAAUAUGGUCGCCGAUUCCUUGAGUAGGAAGGCGGUGAGUAUGGGGAGUUUGGCGUAUAAUCCUGUUUAGGAGAGAUCUCUUGUAGUUAAUAUUGAGGGCUUGGCCAAUCGGUUCGUGAGGUUAGUUAUUUCGGAGCCCAAUCGGGUAUUGGCUUGUGUGAUUUCUCAGUUUUCCUUAUUUGAUCGCAUUAGAGAGCGCCAAUAUGAUGAUCCUCACUUGCUUUUUCUUAAGGACAGAGUUCAGCACGAUGAUGCUAGAGAUGUAACUAUUGGUAAUAAUGGGGUAUUGAGGAUGCAGGGCCGGAGAUGAAUGCCCAAUGUAGAUGGGCUUUGGAAGUUGAUUUUGGAGGAGGCCCAUAGCUCGCAAUAUUCAAUUCAUCCGGGUGCCGCGAAGAUGUAUCAGGAUCUGAGACAACCUUAUUGUUGGAGGAGAAUGAAGGACAUUGUAAAAUUUGUAGCACGAUUUCUAAAUUGUCAGUAGGUGAAAUAUGAGCAUCAAAGACUGGGUGGCUUGCUUCAGCAUAUGGAUAUUCUAGAGUGGAAGUGGGAGCGGAUCACCAUGGACUUUGUAGUUGGGCUCCCACAAACUUUGAAGAAGUUCGAUGCUAUUUAGGUGAUUGUGGAUCGGCUGAGCAAUUCCGCACACUUCAUUCCUGUGUGUACUACCUAUUCUUCAUAGCGGUUGGCAGAGAUAUAUAUCCAGGAGAUUGUUCGUGUGCAUGGUGUCCCAUUUUCCAUUAUUUCAGAUAGAGGUACUCAGUUUACUUAACAGUUUUGGAGGUCUGUACAGCGAAAGUUGGGUACUCAGGUUGAGUUGAGCACAACUUUUCACCCUCAGUUGGACGGGCAGUCCGAGUGCACUAUUCAGAUAUUGGAGGACAUGUUGCGCACUUGUGUAAUUGAUAUUGGAGUGUCGUGGGAUUAGUUUCUACCGAUCGCAUAGUUUGCUUAUAACAACAGUUAUUAGUUGAGUAUACAGAUUGCUCUAUAUUAGGCUUUAUAAGGGAGAUGGAAUAGCUCUCCGAUAGGUUGGUUUGAGCCGGGUAAGGCUAGGCUUUUGGGUACUGACUUAGUGCAGGAUACCUUAGACAAGGUGAAGGUGAUUCAACAGUGGCUUCGUACAGUGCAGUCGAGACAAAAAAGUUAUGCUGACUGGAAGGUUCGGGAUGUNNNNNNNNNNNNNNNNNNNNNNNNNNNNNNNNNNNNNNNNNNNNNNNNNNNNNNNNNNNNNNNNNNNNNNNNNNNNNNNNNNNNNNNNNNNNNNNNNNNNNNNNNNNNNNNNNNNNNNNNNNNNNNNNNNNNNNNNNNNNNNNNNNNNNNNNNNNNNNNNNNNNNNNNNNNNNNNNNNNNNNNNNNNNNNNNNNNNNNNNNNNNNNNNNNNNNNNNNNNNNNNNNNNNNNNNNNNNNNNNNNNNNNNNNNNNNNNNNNNNNNNNNNNNNNNNNNNNNNNNNNNNNNNNNNNNNNNNNNNNNNNNNNNNNNNNNNNNNNNNNNNNNNNNNNNNNNNNNNNNNNNNNNNNNNNNNNNNNNNNNNNNNNNNNNNNNNNNNNNNNNNNNNNNNNNNNNNNNNNNNNNNNNNAGCAUGGUUCAGUUAGAUGAUGAUUUGACUUAUGAUGUGGAGCCAGUAGCUAUUUUGGAGCGUCAGGUUCGAAAGUUAAGGUUAAAGGAUGUAGUUUCAGUGAAAGUGCAGUGGAGAGGUCGGCCCCGUGGAGGAGGCUACCUGGGAGAUCGAGCGAGAGAUGCGGAGCAGAUAUCCUCACCUAUUUGAGACUUUAGGCAUGUUUCUUGACCCGUCCAAGGAUGAACGUUUGUUUACGUGGGGGAGGAUGUAAUGACCCGACCGAUCAUUUCAUGAGUUACUUCUCCGCUUUCCCCAUUUGUACAUCUUAUCAUCUUGUUCAGCUGUAUUAUGUGUUAUCGAGUUGAUUGGUUUGGGUUCGGAGAGGUUUUGGAAUGGAAUGAGAUACUUACUCUCUUUUGAGUAAGCUUAGGUUGAAAAAGUCAACCGAAUGUUGAAUUAUGUGAAAAAGGGCUCGGAUGUGAAUUCCGAUGGUUCGGAUAGCUUCAGGAGGUGAUUUGGGACUUAGGAGCAUGAUCAGAAUGGGUUUUGGAGGUUCGGAGUAGAUUUAGGCUAGAACUGGCAAACUUUGGAAUUUUAGCAUUUUUCGAUUGAUGAGAUUUUGAUAUAGGGUCGUAAUGGAAGUUGGGGAAGGUCCGUUGUGUCAUUUGUGAUGUGUGUGCAAAAUUUCAGGUCAUUCAGACGAGUUUGAUAGACUUUUUGAUCGAAUGCAGAAUUUGGAAGUUUUUGGAUUUCUUAGGUUUGAAUCCGAUGAUGAUUUGGUGUUUUGAUGUUGUUUUGAGCGUUCUGAGGGCUGGAACAAGUUUGAAUGAUGUUAUGGGAUAUGUUGACAUGUUCGGUUGAGGUCUCAAGGGCCUCGGGUGAGUUUCGGGUAGUUGAACGGAUCAAAUUCAUGUUGGAGAAGUUGCAGAUUUCUGUUGUUGGUGUUUCAGACAUUUGGCCUUCGCGUUCGUGAGUGGACUCUUACGUUCGUGAAGGGAUGUAUUGUGAGGCAGGAAUUUUGGCCUUCGCGUUCGUGAUAUGGGUCCCGUGUUCGUGAAGGGUUGGGUUCAGCGUUCAUCGUGAACGCGAUGAGUUGCCCGCGUUCGUGUAGAGUAAAUGGGAGAAUUUGUGUCUCGGUUCAUUUGAGCUUCGAGUUCGAGAGCUAGAGGUCGCAUUUGCGAUGGGUUGAGGAGUUUCGCGUUCAGGAUGUCGCAUUUGUGAUGAAGGAUUUAAGUGGUCAACGGACUUUGUGCUUCGCGAACGCGAGGCGUUGACCGCAUUCGUGAAGAAGGAAAGGGUCACCUGGACAAAAUGUUUAAAUAGCCAUUAUCCGCGAUAUUAAUAUUUUAAAUGAUAUUUUGGGUUGAGCAUCAUGUUUUACCAUUGCCCGAGUCGCUUGAGAGAUUUCUAACUGAAUCACACCGAGGGCCUGUGUGGUGAGAAUAUUAUGGGAUCGGGCUGCGCGGCGUAAUAAUGUUGUAAUGAUUCAUGAUUAUGAGGCCGAUGGCCUGAUUUGUUACGCCACGAGGUGGCUUGUUAUGAGGCUGAGGGUCAAUUUGAUUAUGCCACGAGAUGGCUUGUUAUAGCGCUUGGGCUAUAGGAGGCCUUUUAGUGUCUGCACCCCCUAGUGAGCGCGGGUACCCAAUGUGAGAUGUGAUAUUUCCCAAAGGGCAGUUGUUGUUUCAUGUUAUUUCCCGAGGGGCUGAUACGAGUGAUUGUGAGGUAGCCCGAGGGGCUGGUUCUGUUGGUAUUCUGCCCGAGAAGCGGUUAUGGUACUUGUUUUUCCUCGAGGGGAUGAUUUAUGUUACUAUCCUUUUCUCACUGUUUUCAUCACUCGUUUGAACUACUGAAAGAUGUAUUAAAAAAGUUUUUACUGAACUGAGACGUUUUCACAAGUUUUACUGUUUUACUGCAUUGUUCUAGAUACUAUUUUGUUGUAGCAUUAUGCUAUGGUUUACGUGUUUUCUUAAUACUCCGCUGCCUUUACUUUUAUUACUUACUGAGUUGGCAUACUCACAUUACUCCCUGCACCCUGAUUGUAGAUCCAGGAGUCUUGGGUAUCGCCAAUGAGUGCUGAUUUGUCAUCCAGCAGGCCUUUGAAGUUUACUAGUGUCACGACCCAAAAUAGGCCCGGUCGUGAUGGUGCAUAUCGUGAAACUACGCCAGCCGACACAAAUCCCGAACCAACCAUUAUUCAAUAAAAGUUAUUCUUAUACCAUUUAUUAAUCAAAAAUAUAAUGAUGUGAAUUUAAAAUAAUAGUGCAAAAUAAAUAUACAAGCCUGACAUCGGGGUGUCACUAGUAAUGAGCAUCUACUAAAACCUGAAUACAACGAAAAGUCUGAAAAAUGCACUAAAUGCAGUCUAAUGAAAACAAGAGGGAGAAAAGUUUUGCUCUGAAUGCGAGGAAGCUACCUUGCUAAAACUCUGAUGUCUCUGCCUCUAAGUGAUCAAUGUCACACCUCCUUUUUCUACCUACACCCCCAGAAGAGGGCGUAAAGGAGUUUUUCCAAUUAAAGAACAAUCGGAACGGGAUUUAAUUAUUAAUGAUUCAGAGUCGCCACUUGGGAUAUUAAUGGUGUCCCAAGUCACCGGUUGAAUCCCGAACCGAGGGAAAAUAUGACUCUGUUAACAGUCCGCGAACCAGAAAUUCGGGUAAGGAAUUCUGUUAAUCCGGGAGAAGGUGUUAGGCAUUCCCGGGUUCCGUGGUUCUAGCACGGUCGCUUAACUGUUGUGUUUAAUUUCAUUUGAUUUUAAUACAUGCUAGCUUAUGUGCCUUUUAUUUGUAAACCACUUUUUAUCAUUAUUUAUUUUAAAAGAAUUGCGACGUCGUGAAAACACGUUUCGAACCACGUCGCAAUCAAUGCACCCGCGGUUGUUGACACAUUUCGACUUCGUCAUUUGGGUCACAUAAAUGCGCACCCGAGUUUAGGAACGUAAAUUAUUAAAUUAGCGCGCCUAAAGCAACUACGCGUUUGCAACUUUGCGAGGGCCAUGGAAAGUCCACUAGGUGGCACGCCUCGAAUUCUAAGGAAUGAAAUAUCAAUUAAGUAAGGGCCAUGCAUUUUGAGAUUUUAUUUGGCACGACACGCCUCGAAUUCUAAGGAAUCAAAUAUUAAUUAAAUAAGGGCCAUGCAUUUUGAGAUUUUAUUUGGCACGGCACGCCUCGAAUUAUUUUAAAAGGAUUUUUACUUAACUAAAUCAGACUACGAUGUCUUUGAAUUAAUUAAUAUCCUAAAAACUAAUUUAAGAUAAACGACGUGAUCAUAUGAACUAACAAUUUGCUAAUAAAUCAACUAAAUGAAACAAAAUGCAAAGAAAAUUUACUUCAUUCGCAACUUUUAUAACAAACAGAAGCAUGUAGUCAUCUAUUGAGCAUUAUUUCUUAGUUAUAUACAGUUAUCAUCUUCACUUGUUUUAUGAUGCAAUAACACGGAUAUUAGAGCAAACGACUUCAACAUAUAAUCGUGACCACAAAACUCUUAUUAACCCAACAACCAAAAGUCAAGAAAUUAGAAAAUAUCACGGCAACCUAAGAAACACUCAAUCAAAUCUACAUCGUCUUCAAUAUCCACAAACAAAGUGUUAACACUCAGAAUCACUAGAAAUUGACAAUUCGAUCAAUCGUACAAUGGCUCACCCAAGGUUUUUGUUCACUAUAAAUAAAUUAAGACAGAUAGAGUAGUAAAUGCACGAACUUGAGAAAAGCAGUUUUCGAUUAAUAACGAGAUUCCGGCAAUUACAUGAAACAAAAGAAAAUCACGACUUCGAUUAGAAUUUGAAGUAAACGAUCAGUCCAGAUAGAACCACGAGCUACCUUGGACGGCAACAAAACUUCGAAACCCCCCUCAGUGCCUCAAUCGAACAAUUUGGGAGUAAUAUGGAUUUGUUGUCAGCUUUAGACACUUUAAACAAAGUGUAUACAAGUGUGUGUGAGUGUAAUGGCUGCUUCAUUUCUUUGGAGAAAAAGCCAUGGUUGAGGCUGCAUCGAAGAAGAACGACGGGGUCUGUUUGCUUGUGCCUAAAAAUGUGGCGGAUCCGAUUUGCUUAGAGGUCUUUUUGUUUUCUAUGAAGAAGAAGAAACGUGGGGGAGGGGGGCGUUCAGUGUUCAGAGGCUAUGGAGAUUUGGAGAUUGGGGUCGUUGGUUUCAGGGGGGUGGUGGGGUGCGAAGAAGAUGAUCCGGGUGGGGGUGGGUCGUUUCUCUUGUGUCUCUGCGGCGCAGCUUUCUGAUCUUUUCAGCUCCUUUUGUCCGUUCUUCCCCCUAAUUUUUUAGGCUUUGUUUAAUAUAUAUAGGUCUAGGUUAGUGGUAGGGUUUUAGGUUAAGGGGUAUGGGCCUAGGAAUUAUGGGGUUGGCAAUUGUGGGCUAGGUUCAAAAUUAGGCCAAAAGAUGGGUUGCUCGAGCCCAAGCUCUAUUCUUUUGCCGCGAAUGAGAUUAAAAAUACGCGCCCAUUGUUAAUUAUUUCUACUAUUCAAAUAAUUAUUAAAAUAAAACUAACCAUUAAAAUAAAU